GUUUUCUGCGACGAGGAACUGGAGACGCGAGACCC
Molecule: small RNA, 35 nt
Filed under: Arabidopsis thaliana (thale cress)
Lineage: Eukaryota; Viridiplantae; Streptophyta; Magnoliopsida; Brassicales; Brassicaceae
Description: ATSL151660
Source: RNAcentral